GCUUACGGCCACACCUCCUGGUUCACGCCUGAUCUCGGAAGCUAAGAUAGGUUGGUCCUGGUUAGUACUUGGAUGGGAGACCGCCUGGGAAUACCAGGUGCUGUAAGCU
Molecule: ribosomal RNA, 109 nt
Organism: Scophthalmus maximus (turbot)
Lineage: Eukaryota; Metazoa; Chordata; Actinopteri; Pleuronectiformes; Scophthalmidae
Source: Ensembl